UUGAUGGGAGCUUGCUCCCUGAUAGUUAGCGGCGGACGGGUGAGUAACACGUGGGCAACCUACCUUUAAGACUGGGAUAACUUCGGGAAACCGGAGCUAAUACCGGAUAAUAUGUAAGACCACAUGGUCUUACAUUGAAAGAUGGCUUCGGCUAUCACUUAUAGAUGGGCCCGCGGCGCAUUAGCUAGUUGGUGAGGUAAUGGCUCACCAAGGCGACGAUGCGUAGCCGACCUGAGAGGGUGAUCGGCCACACUGGGACUGAGACACGGCCCAGACUCCUACGGGAGGCAGCAGUAGGGAAUCUUCCGCAAUGGACGAAAGUCUGACGGAGCAACGCCGCGUGAACGAUGAAGGCUUUCGGGUCGUAAAGUUCUGUUGUUAGGGAAGAACAAGUACCAGAGUAACUGCUGGUACCUUGACGGUACCUAACCAGAAAGCCACGGCUAACUACGUGCCAGCAGCCGCGGUAAUACGUAGGUGGCAAGCGUUAUCCGGAAUUAUUGGGCGUAAAGCGCUCGCAGGCGGUCUUUUAAGUCUGAUGUGAAAGCCCACGGCUCAACCGUGGAGGGUCAUUGGAAACUGGGAGACUUGAGUGCAGAAGAGGAGAGUGGAAUUCCACGUGUAGCGGUGAAAUGCGUAGAGAUGUGGAGGAACACCAGUGGCGAAGGCGACUCUCUGGUCUGUAACUGACGCUGAGGAGCGAAAGCGUGGGGAGCGAACAGG
RNAcentral lists this ribosomal RNA (723 nucleotides) under uncultured Bacillota bacterium. RNAcentral's name for it is "bacterial SSU rRNA". It matches the Rfam family "Bacterial small subunit ribosomal RNA", at positions 69 to 776 of the family's 1533-position model. The record is from RNAcentral. Lineage: Bacteria; Bacillati; Bacillota.